GAUGAACGCUGGCGGCGUGCCUAAUACAUGCCAGUCGAGCGAACGGACGAGAAGCUUGCUUCUCUGAUGUUAGCGGCGGACGGGUGAGUAACACGUGGAUAACCUACCUAUAAGACUGGGAUGACUUCGGGAAACCGGAGCUAAUACCGGAUAAUAUUUUGAACCGCAUGGUUCAAAAGUGAAAGACGGUCUUGCUGUCACUUAUAGAUGGAUCCGCGCUGCAUUAGCUAGUUGGUAAGGUAACGGCUUACCAAGGCAACGAUGCAUAGCCGACCUCAGAGGGUGAUCGGCCACACUGGAACUGAGACACGGUCCAGACUCCUACGGGAGGCAGCAGUAGGGAAUCUUCCGCAAUGGGCGAAAGCCUGACGGAGCAACGCCGCGUGAGUGAUGAAGGUCUUCGGAUCGUAAAACUCUGUUAUUAGGGAAGAACAUAUGUGUAAGUAACUGUGCACAUCUUGACGGUACCUAAUCAGAAAGCCACGGCUAACUACGUG
RNAcentral lists this ribosomal RNA (497 nucleotides) under uncultured bacterium. RNAcentral describes it as "partial 16S ribosomal RNA". It matches the Rfam family "Bacterial small subunit ribosomal RNA", at positions 28 to 507 of the family's 1533-position model. The record is from RNAcentral.